This is an RNA transcript of Formica exsecta, 2081 nucleotides long. It is a transcript of the gene named mitochondrial carrier protein Rim2-like, with no coding region annotated. The record is from RefSeq and is a predicted model, not a curated record. Lineage: Eukaryota; Metazoa; Arthropoda; Insecta; Hymenoptera; Formicidae. The transcript is spliced from 5 exons.
GUGGAAGGGAGAAAUCUGGGGGAAUCCGGCAUCCGGCAGCAGUGCGUGAUACGUUGUCGUUCCGAUCAUAGUAGUCUGUUGUUUCGCGGUAUUGAAACAGUGUACGGUUGUGUACGGUGCGGCAAUACGGUGCUCGUUCAAUUCAUGUGUCUCGUCGAUAUCGCGAUCGCAAAAGAGUGCAGUUUGUUCAGUUGCAAUUCUUGUCACGAUCGCGAAAACUGUGUCUAAAAACAGUGACGUUACUCAAGAGGCUAUUGCGCGUUGCGUCUCGUCUCGUCUCGCCUCGCCUCGUUUCGUCUGGUCACGUACGUCUCGUCUCGUCUCCGUCUCCGUCUCGUCUCCGUCUCCGUCUCGUCUCCGUCUCCGUCUCGUCUCCGUCUCUUGUCCUGUCUAUCCUCCGUACGGCCGAUUCGCGAAAGUGCAUGCUACCUUAGAUUGACAACGUCUCGCGAUCGCGUAGAAUGUUGGAUCGCGACACGGCGAUACAUCUCGUCGCCGGAGGAGUGGCUGGUACGGCAGGAGCGAUAGUAACUUGUCCGCUCGAAGUAGUAAAAACCCGAUUGCAGUCGUCGUCUUCCGGUUUUCAUCCGCCGCCAGUAAGUAAAGAAUUUACAUCCGGUCAUCCCACAUGCAAGGGUUCGCCGACGCCUGAACAACGCAGGAGGCUAUGCACUGGAUACCCCAGAUAUUCCAGCCACUUCGUGGCCCUCUCGCAUUUCGGUGUUUCGACCUCGCCUCCGAAUUCUUCCCGAUACGCGCCAGGCAUCUAUCAGUGCUUAAGGUAUAUUAUCAAGAAUGAGGGAGCACGAGGAUUAUUCAAAGGUCUCGGUCCUAAUCUCAUCGGUGUGGCACCGUCCAGAGCUAUCUAUUUCUGUGCGUACUCCAAGAGCAAAGUUGCAUUCAACGCAAUCCUACCUCCCGACACACCGAUCGUUCAUGUUUUCUCCGCGUCCUGCGCUGGGUAUCUUGGGAUUCUAUAAAGGCAUCGUGGCGUCCUACAUAGGCAUAAGUGAGACUGUGAUACACUUUGUGAUAUACGAAGCGGUAAAAGCAUGGCUAGCCACGCACAGAUCACGAGCUUCGCAGGCAGAUGACAGGAAGACGUUCCGCGACUUCAUCGAAUUUAUGGCAGCGGGAUCUUUUUCGAAAACGAUAGCGUCGACCGUUGCCUAUCCUCACGAGGUCGCAAGGACCCGAUUACGAGAAGAAGGUACCAAAUAUCGCGCUUUUUGGCAAACUUUGAGCACCGUAUGGACGGAGGAGGGCACAAAAGGUCUCUAUCGCGGCCUCGGUACCCAGUUGAUCCGGCAGAUUCCGAACACCGCUAUCAUAAUGGCAACGUACGAGGCGGUGGUAUAUGUGCUGACACAACACUUCCGACCCGUUACAGUGGCGACGUCCAGCACCGAUGCGGCAUCGGAAUUUUACAGCGAGGCUAAGGCGAAAAGACAGUUGGCCUAGGAUUUGCUUACGGCCCCUGAGUAAAGGGCCACCCACCAAUUGUUUUCUUUUCUACAGCAGGCGAAUAUUGCGCGUACUCUCGGGAUACCAUCCUGAUAUGUAAUCGUACAUCUAGACGCAACAAAAGAGAGCAGCUCAACGUUGGAAACAUGCUCGAUGUCAUAAUCGUUGCUCCUGGGGUACUCAAAAAGGUACCAGCGCAUUGAUUGCACUGUGCUCUAACAGUAUAGCAAAAAGUAGUCCUUCCUCCUUUCAGGUAGCAUGUACGUACCCGGAGAUGGACCCGGUGUAUCUUGCAGGAAAAGAGAGAGGUGAAAUUAGGGAAAGCGGAUGUUGUUUAAUAAUGUCACAUAGACAUUAGGAAGCUGAGACUUCGCUUCUCGCGAAAUCAUGGAUGCAUAUGAAUGCGGAAAAAGAGCUUAUAUUGCGACAUCGUGGAUGCAUAUGAAUGCAGAACAAGGGCUUGUAUUGUGUUAUCAGAUUUAUUCGAAAUAAGAUUAUCUUUUGCCUUAAAAACCGAACUCCAGAAUCUGAAUUCAGAAUGUGUGAUGCUAUAAUAGUCACUGUAAAUUUUAGGUCUCUCUGACGAGUUUUGCUUUCGGUGCUAUUCUCUAUUUCAC